ACCUCGAUCUCUUCUUUCCCUUAAGAGUAUUACUAUUACUCACAUAUAUAUAAUAUAUAUAUUUAGCUAGUGGUUUUAGGGUUUAGAGUGGGGCCGAACGGAGCUCUCUUUACUCCAUCUCUGAAAGGAGAUGACGGUAGGCACGGCUGCUAGUUCAUGAGUACCCCUGGGUGCGCAGGACGGCAUCUGAUAAUUUCCCAUGCGCAGUCUAAGGGUUUGCAUGAGCUUGGAGACGAGGUUACCUUGAUCUUUUUGGUAUUGGAGUGAAGGGAGCUCUGUCCCUGUAACACUUCUUGUCCUCGACCAAAUGCCUUGUUGUUGUUUUUUUUUGAAUCAAAAUGCCUUGUUGUUCUUAAGGGUUUAGAUCUAAGAGAAUGUCAUUGUUUCUAGUUACUAUAAUCAUUAACUUAUUUUGUCUUUUCUUUUGUUUUUGUUUUUAUUCUUGGUAUUAUUAGGCUUUAUAUAUAUUGCAUGCAUGGUUUCCUUGUAGAACUGCGGCUAGCGUCUUGAUUGAAGCCUUUGAAAUAUUGCAACUACGCUCUGAUAUCCGCCGGUUGUGCUCCUCUGCUUGUGAAAACUACGAGUUCAUUGUGAUUAAUCAUCAAAAGCAUCUCUGGAUUCGCCCUUUUUGUAUUCUUGUCGGUUAAUCGACACAUUUAAUAGUUGAUUUUUUUUUAAAAAAAGUGAAAAUUGCUAGUUUUUCUUUACCGGUCCUUUGUAAGACUGUAACUAGAUGCUUCUCCGUCAAUCUAUAUCCAAUCAAUAUAAAAAUAGUUUGAGUUUAAUUC
Alnus glutinosa is the source of this 788-nucleotide long non-coding RNA. RefSeq lists it as uncharacterized. NCBI's taxonomy places the organism in Eukaryota, Viridiplantae, Streptophyta, Magnoliopsida, Fagales, Betulaceae. The transcript has 2 exons. The record is from RefSeq and is a predicted model, not a curated record.